AUGUCUGUUUUUUGUCUGCCAAAGGGAGUAUGCAAAGAUAUCACAGAUGUGAUUGCACGGUUUUGGUGGGGAGAUAAGGAGGAGAAUAAAAAAUUACAUUGGUUUUCUUGGUGGAAGCUUUGUGCCCCGAAGUCUGAUGGUGGAAUAGGGUUCAAAGACCUUUAUUCUUUCAACUUAGCACUCCUUGCCAAACAAAGCUAGAGAUUAAUUAUAUAUCCAGAUUCUAUUUGUGACGGGAUCCUUAAGAAGAAGUAUUUCCCAAAUAUUGAUAUCCUCCAAGCCGGUCCAAAGAAGGUCUCUUCUUUUACAUGGCAAAGCAUUCUUGCGGGAAUUGCUACUUUCAAAUGUGGGUACAUUUGGCGCAUUGGAUCAGGGGAGAAAGUUAACAUAUGGAUUGAUCCAUGGGUCCCAUCUAGCCCGGAUAGGAGAAUUUUGACUCCAAGAGGUAAUAUUAUGCUUACAAUGGUGAAUGAUUUGAUAAACCCUGCUGAUGGCCAAUGGGACGAGGAGUUAAUUUGUAACAUCCCAAAAUUCUAA
Molecule: ribosomal RNA, 537 nt
Filed under: Triticum aestivum (bread wheat)
Lineage: Eukaryota; Viridiplantae; Streptophyta; Magnoliopsida; Poales; Poaceae
Description: partial small subunit ribosomal RNA
Source: RNAcentral